CAGACCAGUUCUCUGGCCGGGCGUGGCUUUCUGUGUGGUUCUCAAAAUACACACAUCACACGAAUGGUGCUAUCUCACAGCCAUAAGGGCCCCAUCAGGGCCAGAGGAGGAGAGUGGACAGUGUGACAGGGAGAAAUCACUGUGACAUCUGUGUGCGCUUUUCAGAGAUGGAUGAGAAGACACAUAAUGAUUAUUCAGAAAAAAUAAAGGCAGAGCCUGACCCCGCGGUGGUCCUCACGUCCAGAAAGACUGCUGUGUGAAGAGGUGCUUACACUUAACCUAGGCCAUUUCUCCAAGAUCAGAACUAGAGACAAGGCAGAAAUUAAAGGGGAGGGUGAAAGCCAUCUGCUGGACGAACGCAAACACCCGCCCUUGGAAGCACCUCCCACCCGGCUCCCUCGGUUGCUGUUCUGACCCUGCGGACGUUUGAGCAAAGUCGGAAACCCACUGGUGGGGACGUUGCAACUGCCAUCCUUGAGUGGACGUGACUUUGGAUUCUGUCCUUUUCACCAAAGCUGAGUCCUCAGCGCAUCUCAGGGGCUGUUUUGGGGGACAAGUGUCUUUCAUUUGGUUCAGAAAUAGUUUGGGGGGGAAAACAGGAGGAAAUACUAUCAGUGAAGUUAUUGGCCAUUCCCGUCCAUCCACCUAAGCGCCCCCUUCCUUCCCGUUCUGUUCUCUGCAGCGCAGCCAGUACCACGCCUGCUCCACGUCCUACGGCCGAUCAGUGUGCAUCUGCCUAAGUCCACAUCUCCAAAAGUGCGAGGGAAGUGCACUGAUCUGUUCCUAUGUGACAAGUCCUCUCUCCUCUUAACGUAUUGAGGGCUACGUCUCAUACCUUGUGACUCUGAGGACCACGUCUCAUACCUUGUGACUCUGAGGAAGAAUCCCAUGAAGAAAUCGGUGCAGAACAGGAGCCAGGGUGACGGGAAAGGAGCAGGCUGUUUUGCUGAGUGGGAGCCCCCAGACGUCUGGGACAGGCGACCUGACACCUCCUUGACGGAAACCACUCUUCUCGUUUCACACAUUUGCUGUCAGGAUGAGAGAAGGCAGAGAGAAGAACAAAAGCCGGGAUCUGCACCAGAAGUCAUGAGUUUCUGUCUCGGUCCCACCGCUCUGCAGCAAUGGAGUUAUUCAGCCUCUCCAAGCCUCAGUUUCCUCAUAAAGCAGGCUUGUAGGAACCCCCACAGCCACUCCUGACAUCCUUGCCUCCCCGCCACCACGUGGUCAGAUCCGCCCUGGGACCAAGGACCAGAAAAAGAAAUCAGACACAAGUGAAGCAGACAGAGCAACAGCCUGAAGCCAUGAUUCAGAGACGGCAUGACCACUUCUGCCUACACGCCUAGAAAAUCCCGAAUAGGGGGAAAAACCAGCACAUUCUCCUUUAUUCACAGAGCAGUUCUGGCGUGGAGGUGACAGCGCACAAAGGGCUAUUCCUGAUAAUGCAGGGUCUCCCUGUUGUAGAAAGAGGCUUUGGAGUCAGAUAUAAAAUCUGGCCACACCAUUCAUGCGCUGUGUGAUCUUAAUUAGUGUAUUAUCUCUGAGCCUGAGUUUCCUGAUCGCUGAUUGAAGAGAGCCCUACCUACCUCCCGGUUGGCGGGGCAAACAUAAAAUACGUGUGCAGCAAAAGGAUCUGAUAGGAUAAAAUGAUCAUCACUGUCCCUGCCUUGCCAUUUAGAACAAGGUCAGAUCCUCUGCUUGCAUUCGUCAGUUACACCUGCAGCACCCUGGCAUCAGGGUGAAAAAGGAAAGCCUUGGAACUAGUCACCAACCCAACAACUUCAGGGCUGGCAACUCCCGAAUAACCUGCCAAGCUCUGCCAGCAGUUAAGGAUUCAACUUUCCCUGUAGACCUACACACCAGAGGCAGUUGGAUAAUCACUUCUAAUCACCUAUUGACUGGGUUGCUUUUUGUUUCAGCACUGCCGGGACAGAGGUUGG
Camelus dromedarius (Arabian camel) is the source of this 1937-nucleotide long non-coding RNA. RefSeq lists it as uncharacterized. The transcript is spliced from 3 exons. The record is from RefSeq and is a predicted model, not a curated record. Lineage: Eukaryota; Metazoa; Chordata; Mammalia; Artiodactyla; Camelidae.